This is a non-coding RNA of Parelaphostrongylus tenuis, 72 nucleotides long. The record is from the annotation of a GenBank genome assembly. NCBI's taxonomy places the organism in Eukaryota, Metazoa, Nematoda, Chromadorea, Rhabditida, Metastrongylidae.
GCCUCAGUGGUGUAGUGGUAGCAGACGCCCCUGAUUUAGGUGAAACACGGGUUCAAAUCCCGCCUGAGGUCA